Molecule: ribosomal RNA, 503 nt
Filed under: uncultured bacterium
Lineage: Bacteria
Description: partial 16S ribosomal RNA
Rfam family: Bacterial small subunit ribosomal RNA
Source: RNAcentral
AUUGAACGCCGGCGGCAGGCUUAACACAUGCAAGUCGAGCGGGGUGAUGGUGCUUGCACUAUCACUUAGCGGCGGACGGGUGAGUAAUGCUUAGGAAUCUGCCUAUUAGUGGGGGGCAACAUCUCGAAAGGGAUGCUAAUACCGCAUACGUCCUACGGGAGAAAGCAGGGGAUCACUUGUGACCUUGCGCUAAUAGAUGAGCCUAAGUCGGAUUAGCUAGUUGGUGGGGUAAAGGCCUACCAAGGCGACGAUCUGUAGCGGGUCUGAGAGGAUGAUCCGCCACACUGGGACUGAGACACGGCCUAGACUCCUACGGGAGGCAGCAGUGGGGAAUAUUGGACAAUGGGGGGAACCCUGAUCCAGCCAUGCCGCGUGUGUGAAGAAGGCCUUAUGGUCGUAAAGCACUUUAAGCGAGGAGGAGGCUCUUUUGGUUAAUACCCAAGAUGAGUGGACGUUACUCGCAGAAUAAGCACCGGCUAACUCUGUGCCAGCCGCCGCCGUAA